GAUGCCCUUAGAUGUUCUGGGCCGCACGCGCGCUACACUGAUGAAUUCAACGAGCCUACAACCUUGGCCGAAAGGUCUGGGUAAUCUUUGAAAUUUCAUCGUGAUGGGGAUAGAUUAUUGCAAUUAUUAAUCUUCAACGAGGAAUGCCUAGUAAGCGCGAGUCAUCAGCUCGCGUUGAUUACGUCCCUGCCCUUUGUACACACCGCCCGUCGCUACUACCGAUUGAAUGGCUCAGUGAGGCCUUGGGAUUGGCUUAGGAGGGUUGGCAACGACCCCCCAGAGCCGAAAACUUGGUCAAACUCGGUCAUUUAGAGGAAGUAAAAGUCGU
Molecule: ribosomal RNA, 328 nt
Filed under: Nephroselmis pyriformis
Lineage: Eukaryota; Viridiplantae; Chlorophyta; Nephroselmidophyceae; Nephroselmidales; Nephroselmidaceae
Description: partial Eukaryotic small subunit ribosomal RNA
Rfam family: Eukaryotic small subunit ribosomal RNA
Source: RNAcentral